GCCAGUAUAACCUAGUGGUUUGGGCUUUGGACUAUAACUCUGGAGACCAGGGUUCAAUUCCCAGCUCAGCA
This is a non-coding RNA of Phrynosoma platyrhinos (Desert horned lizard), 71 nucleotides long. The record is from the annotation of a GenBank genome assembly. Lineage: Eukaryota; Metazoa; Chordata; Lepidosauria; Squamata; Phrynosomatidae.